Molecule: ribosomal RNA, 253 nt
Filed under: uncultured bacterium
Lineage: Bacteria
Description: partial 16S ribosomal RNA
Rfam family: Bacterial small subunit ribosomal RNA
Source: RNAcentral
UACGUAGGCAGCGAGCGUUGUUCGGAAUUAUUGGGCGUAAAGCGCGCGUAGGCGGUUACUCAAGUCGGAUGUGAAAGCCCUCGGCUUAACUGAGGAAGUGCACCCGAAACUGAGUAGCUAGAGUACUAAAGAGGGUCGCGGAAUUCCCGGUGUAGAGGUGAAAUUCGUAGAUAUCGGGAGGAACACCGGUGGCGAAGGCGGCGACCUGGGUAGAUACUGACGCUGAGGCGCGAAAGCGUGGGGAGCAAACAGG